Molecule: ribosomal RNA, 673 nt
Filed under: uncultured eukaryote
Lineage: Eukaryota
Description: SSU rRNA
Rfam family: Eukaryotic small subunit ribosomal RNA
Source: RNAcentral
UUGAUGGUAGUGUAUUGGACUACCAUGGCAGUCACGGGUAACGGAGAAUUAGGGUUCGAUUCCGGAGAGGGAGCCUGAGAAACGGCUACCACAUCUACGGAGGGCAGCAGGCGCGAAAAUUGCCCAAUCCCGAUACGGGGAGGCAGUGGCAAGAAAUAACAACUCUCGACUAUGUUGAGAAGUGUAAUGAGGAUAAUUUACAAACCUUACCGAAAGCAAUUGGAGGGCAAGUCUGGUGCCAGCAGCCGCGGUAAUUCCAGCUCCAAUAGCGUAUAUUAAAGUUGUUGCAGUUAAAAAGCUCGUAGUUGAAGUUCUGGCUGUAUGGGCCUCUGCACUAGAUGCGAAGGUACCAGCAGCCAUCCGCUUGCAAAUACAUGUCCUUCUUUAACCGGUAGGCUGUAUGAGCAAGCAAUUUACCUUGAGAAAAACAGAGUGCACCAGGCAGGUAUAUCCGGAAUGCAUUAGCAUGGAAUAAUAGAAUAUGACUGAAGUCGAUUUAUUGGUUUGAGGCUUUAGUAAUGAUUAAUAGGAACAAUCGGGGGCAUUAGUACUUGCCAGUCAGAGGUGAAAUUCUAAGAUUUGGCAAAGACUAACUGAUGCGAAAGCGUUUGCCAAGGAUGUUUUCAUUAAUCAAGAACGAAAGUUAGGGGAUCAAAGACGAUCAGAUACCGUC